GCUCUAGGUCUGCGGGAGGUGUAGAGGAUGAGGAUCUGCUGACAGUGAGGAGCCAAUGAUGUCUGGAUGUCAGACUCUGUAGAAAAGAUGGAGCUGGGGGAAGACCUGGUCUCUGGACCCGAUGAAGAAGAAAAGAUAACAGAAAAGAUAUUACUCAAGUCAGAAGACGUCACUCAGGAAAUGAAGUGUCCCAGAUCAGAUGGAGAACUGUACAGCUGUAUUGUGAAACCGCUGGCUGAAGGACGGCCAAAUGACUGCUUGGCGGUUAUUUUAUAUGAACCCUCACAUAACAUGGGGACAUGGAGUUCCAAUACAAUUCUGGCUUUGCUCUCAAAUCAGCAACGGUUAUUAAUCCUUGUUUUUGUCAGAAAUGUACAAUGAAUAAUACCCCCUCAUAUGGAGAACAUACUCUCCAAAGGACUCUUUUUUGCCA
This is a long non-coding RNA of Hyla sarda, 433 nucleotides long. RefSeq lists it as uncharacterized. The transcript has 3 exons. Lineage: Eukaryota; Metazoa; Chordata; Amphibia; Anura; Hylidae. The record is from RefSeq and is a predicted model, not a curated record.